UACGGAGGAUUCAAGCGUUAUCCGGAUUUAUUGGGUUUAAAGGGUGCGUAGGCGGUCGGAUAAGUUAGAGGUGAAAUCCCGAGGCUCAACUUCGGAAUUGCCUCUGAUACUGUUCGGCUAGAGAGUAGUUGCGGUAGGCGGAAUGUAUGGUGUAGCGGUGAAAUGCAUAGAUAUCGAGAGGAACACUCGUGGCGAAGGCGGGUUCCUGGACAUUAACUGACGCUGAGGCACGAAGGCCAGGGGAGCGAAAGGG
This 253-nucleotide ribosomal RNA is filed under the name uncultured bacterium. RNAcentral's name for it is "partial 16S ribosomal RNA". It matches the Rfam family "Bacterial small subunit ribosomal RNA", at positions 524 to 776 of the family's 1533-position model. The record is from RNAcentral.